Anopheles merus is the source of this 2826-nucleotide long non-coding RNA. RefSeq lists it as uncharacterized. The record is from RefSeq and is a predicted model, not a curated record. The transcript is spliced from 3 exons. NCBI's taxonomy places the organism in Eukaryota, Metazoa, Arthropoda, Insecta, Diptera, Culicidae.
UUAAUGGUUGUGACACUGUUUACUAAUCCUUACUAGUGAGGCAUUCCAGCAACUUUAAAAAUCUUUUCAUUUUGACAAACACUCAUCGAAAGCUUGUUUACGCUUAGAAAUAAAAUUUUCCAUCUAAUCUCCAGGCGAGCAACAAAAACAACGCGCACAAAAAGGCAGCAAAAAGGAGCAAGAAACAAAGGGUAACAACAAGAAACAAAACUCGGUAAACAACAACACACCUUUCCUCGUCGGGUCGACUACUCCCCUCCCCAUCAUUAAAAGGAGCAACCAGGAGAGGUGGAAUGCAUUACCGCUUCUUAUCGUUUUCCAUCCAGCGCGUUUAUUGCUGUGUGUUGAUCUGCUUAAUUCGCUACAUUCCUGCACACAUACACCCAGCCCCGCAAGCUGUGUGACUCACACACAAACCAUCAUAUCCGUGGCCAAACGGGGAAAACCCGGAAUAAUUUGCAGUUUGGUAACACAUUUAAGUGGAUCGGAGCGCUCGAAAGCCCAGAAGAGGCGUACAUUUCCAAUGGCACAAAAAAACAACAUCCAGAUCCAUCUAUUCCAGAACUCCGCCAGCAAACCGACUCAUUUUUUUUAAUUUUCAAUUGUGUUUGUAGGGCCCACACGUGACGUCAUCAAACUAGCCCGUGCACUGUCCAUAUUAACCCCUUUUCUUCCCUCACCCACUCAAAGAAGGGGGUUGUUUUUAUCGCGCACACAAUUUAAGCUGCUAGCGACGCUUGUUUUGAUCAAAACUGCUGUAUGUGUGAGUGUGCUGAAGCAUGGCUGUGUGUGCGUGUCCGGCCGCCGGCUGUUUUAUCUCAUCGGUGUCGUUACGUGGACGUGGACUUUACUUCUCCCUUCGGCUUGCGAGAAUGGUCUGACCGUCCUCCACCCGCAGCAAAAGGGGUGUGUAUGUAAAGGGGGAAGGUAAAUGUAAGACACUGUGACCAAUUGAAAACGGAGCAAGCGUGUGGCGCGUCCAACGGAAACAGCAACAACAACAGCAAAUCAUUCUUGGAGGCUUGGUAGAAUGUGGCGUGACGCGAACGCAUCAAAACAACAACACAAAACAACCGGCCAACCACCGCCACCAAUAGCACACCCCUGCAGCACCGUGGACCCUUAGGCAUUCGACGCGAACACUCGCGGGUAAAAGUAAACAGGUUCGCCGCGGUUCUUGCCUGACCGGGAUGGAAACUUUCAAUUGAAUGAGUGCCCGACAUGGGGAGGGCUGCGCGUGAGUGACCACGCUCAAACGAAUCCAAUUGGAAUGGAAUGUUCCGUCCGGCUCCGGUGUCCCGCUGGGGGAAUGGAAAGGAACUGGAACGAACGAACGAAAAACGACAGGAAAGAAACAUUUCCUUGCUACGCAUAUAAACAGUUUUAUAUCUUUUGCCUACCUGUGAUGGGGUGGGGAUUUAAAUCGAUCAAUCGAUCGCCGAAAGGUCCCCGGCUGCUUCUGCUACAAUAAAACCAGCAACAAAUUUGAGCUAAUUUUACUCCGCUCUAUCUCACCCGCCCUCUGCCAAUGGAACUGCACACCCGUUACAUUGUCAGCAAAGUGUGCUCCAAGGCACGGUAGAGUUGGCAACACAUAAAUCCGGGACACAUGCCGCGCACAUCGAACACACGGCGGCGAUCCUACGCUUCACAGCGUUUACGCUUUAUGACACCGGAAGAACGAUAACCGGCGCUGCUUUCGAUGCCAAUAAACGGCGUUCGGCGAGGUACAAACCGGACGGACACAUUUAACCGUUCCCAUCGUGCAGUUUUUGUUAGUCAAGGUUACACUAGACAGAAAUUUUACCAUGUGACAACAGCAAAAUAACGCAACAAAACAUACCUAAAUACAAGAUCGCAAUCGCGCAAUGCCAAACAAAAACAAAACCUCUCCGGGGUCUCCGUGUCUCAUGCGUUCUUCUUGCUGACUUCCCCGCGCACACUAAUCGCAAGUGUCCAUUCUUGCCAGUGAGCUUAUUCAUUCACAAAAACAACAUUCAAAAACAACCAACAGCCCCCGGGGUUUUGAUGUUGGUCGUACUGUCUUGCGUCAGAAACGACAAAAUAACGAUCCCAACACUGCCGCGGAAACGCGCAUAUUACCUUUCUUUUGCUGACGGUGAAGAACAUCAUACCUAUCUUAACCGCUGCUGCACACGGAAAUAGAAAUAUGGCUCAUUUCUUAGUAAAUGUCUUCAAUCAAAACUGAAUUCAAUUCAAUGGAGGGCUUCGUCGAUGCAAUUCGAUUGCUAAAAAUAACGCCUCCACCUCCACACCUAAUGUGACCUUUACAUUGGUGUCAACAGGGAAAUGAAAUGCGUAACGAACCGCAAGGAUUCCUUUUUUUCCAACCCGAGCACCAUCAUAAACUUCUCCCGAUGGAAAUACGUCUCCUUCUCUCACUCUCUCUCUCUCUCUCUUGUCCCGAGACACACCUACUACACUGCCGCUUAUUGCACAAGGGGGUAGAGAGUUUGUUAUCGAAAUGUAUUACGCAUCGUGGGACUUAAUAGAAAAUUAUCACGCAAAUGCUGAGCACGGUGGUCCAAUAACAACAACCCACGCCCGUACCGGGUCCGUGUGUCUUACGCAAUCGGGCCAAGCCAAGAUUGAUUAAGCUAGAAUGCUUUAUUGAUGAUAAAGAAAAAUGGAAUAAUUAUUAUGCCUACAUUAAUCGAUAAUCGACAUAAUGGAAACGUCCGAAUGGAAACUUAUUUAAUUUUUUACAGCAAAUAAUACAUAGUUGUGGAACACUUCCUUGACUCUUUCCUUAUGGGAAGCAAAUGAUGGAAAUUGGACGCACCAUUUUUGGACAGGCUCGUUAAA